Molecule: ribosomal RNA, 349 nt
Filed under: uncultured Frigoribacterium sp.
Lineage: Bacteria; Bacillati; Actinomycetota; Actinomycetes; Micrococcales; Microbacteriaceae
Description: bacterial SSU rRNA
Rfam family: Bacterial small subunit ribosomal RNA
Source: RNAcentral
AACAGGAUUAGACUACCCUGGUACGUCCAUGACCGUAAACGGUUGGGAACUAGAUGGUCGGGGCCAUUCCGACGGUCUCCGUGUCGCAGACUAACGCAUUAACGUUCCCCGCCGUGGGAGUACGGCCGACGAGGACUAAACUACGAAAGGAAUUGACGGGGGCCCGCACAAGCGGCGGAGCAUGCGGAUUAAUCGAUGCAACGCGAAGAACCUUACCAAGGCUUGACAUAUACCGGAAACGUCCAGAGAUGGUCGCCCCGCAAGGUCGGUAUACAGGUGGUGCAUGGUUGUCGUCAGCUCGUGUCGUGAGAUGUUGGGUUAAGUCCCGCAACGAGCGUCGACGCGGCCG